GUCCUGCUGACGAGUCACAAAUGAGACGAAACGCGCGUCCUGAAU
Molecule: non-coding RNA, 45 nt
Filed under: Schistosoma mattheei
Lineage: Eukaryota; Metazoa; Platyhelminthes; Trematoda; Strigeidida; Schistosomatidae
Source: RNAcentral